UGAAUUGACGAGUUGAAUUGGGUUAGAGCAGGUGAUGCUCGAUGGAAAUGAUCACAAAUUAAAAGCUGAUCACAG
Small nucleolar RNA from Caenorhabditis elegans, 75 nucleotides. Lineage: Eukaryota; Metazoa; Nematoda; Chromadorea; Rhabditida; Rhabditidae. The record is from Ensembl.